UGACCGCCUUUUUGCGCUUUCUUCCGCGAAAAAAGGCUGAGGCUACACGGACGGCCGGGUCAAAUGCCGA
This 70-nucleotide small RNA is filed under the name pig gut metagenome. Its description in RNAcentral is "Streptococcus sRNA SpF59 (ldcC RNA)". It matches the Rfam family "Streptococcus sRNA SpF59 (ldcC RNA)". The record is from RNAcentral.